GAUAAAGAACGCAGCGAAAUGCGAUACGUAAUGUGAAUUGCAAAUUCAGUGAAUCAUCGAGUCUUUGAACGCACAUUGCGCCCCCUGGUAUUCCGGGGGGCAUGCCUGUCCGAGCGUCAUUGCUGCCCUCAAGCACGGCUUGUGUGUUGGGCCCCGUCCUCCGAUCCCGGGGGACGGGCCCGAAAGGCAGCGGCGGCACCGCGUCCGGUCCUCGAGCGUAUGGGGCUUUGUCACCCGCUCUGUAGGCCCGGCCGGCGCUUGCCGAUCAACCCAAAUUUUUAUCCAGGUUGACCUCGGAUCAGGUAGGGAUACCCGCUGAACUUAAGCAUAUCAAUAAGCGGAGGA
RNAcentral lists this unclassified non-coding RNA (345 nucleotides) under soil metagenome. Its description in RNAcentral is "partial contains 5.8S ribosomal RNA, internal transcribed spacer 2, and large subunit ribosomal RNA". The stretch from base 1 to 119 matches the Rfam family "5.8S ribosomal RNA", at positions 35 to 154 of the family's 154-position model. The record is from RNAcentral.